AUUGAACGCUGGCGGCAUGCCUUACACAUGCAAGUCGAACGGCAGCACGGGGGCAACCCUGGUGGCGAGUGGCGAACGGGUGAGUAAUAUAUCGGAACGUACCCGGAAAUGGGGGAUAACGUAGCGAAAGUUACGCUAAUACCGCAUAUGCCCUAAGGGGGAAAGCGGGGGAUUCGCAAGAACCUCGCGUUUUCGGAGCGGCCGAUAUCGGAUUAGCUAGUAGGUGAGGUAAAGGCUCACCUAGGCGACGAUCCGUAGCUGGUCUGAGAGGACGACCAGCCACACUGGAACUGAGACACGGUCCAGACUCCUACGGGAGCAGCAGUGGGGAAUUUUGGACAAUGGGCGCAAGCCUGAUCCAGCCAUGCCGCGUGAGUGAAGAAGGCCUCGG
Molecule: ribosomal RNA, 391 nt
Filed under: uncultured bacterium
Lineage: Bacteria
Description: bacterial SSU rRNA
Rfam family: Bacterial small subunit ribosomal RNA
Source: RNAcentral